UAGAAGGCUGGUGUCUGGCUCUCUGCAGCAGGUCUCUUGGCUGCACUCCCUGCACAGCUUGGAGCAUGAGCGCUCUUCUUGUUCAGGUGACCACAAGUCUUCUGCAAGUGCUGAAAAGCAGUUUGCUGCCUUUGCAUCACCAGCUGUGCAGACACAUUUAGUACCAGUGCUAGAUGGAUGGUGAGCAGCUGCCUUGUGCCGAGUGGUACCUGGAGGGGAGACUGAACAUGUGGCCUUGGUCAGGAGACAUGCCUGCAUUUCACCUCUUUUGCCUCAUUUUGAUGUGUCCAAAUGCCUCUUCUGUCCUGCCUUGUGUUGGAAGAGCCCCUUCUGGCCGUGCCCACCCCUUCUUCAUGGUGCUUUUGACACCGGCUCUGCCACACUGCUCUGGCUGAGGCAACAAGGAAGACUGCGACCUCACUUAUUUUAAAUAACCAGAAAUACUGGGCUGCUCUGAGAAUCCCAACCUCCGCGAGUAGUCCUUGUGCUUUCAACUGACCUUGGAAAAGAAUGCUUUAAUUAUACACAUGCUUCACUUAAAUCAGUAAUGAAUUGCAGUUCUGCAGGGCGGCUUGCUGGGACUGUCCCCAUAAAUAACGCUGUCGAGGCAUGCCUGGGUGGUGGUGAUAUGCUGAUUCAAGUUGCACGGGAGAAACCAACAGAAACAUCUCUGCAUCGUGACGAGACCCACAAUGACACGCGGUCUGGAUGAGGAAGCAUUCAAACGCGUUUCCUUUCUCAGCACGUGGGAUACAGGCUUGAGAAGAAGUGAGAACUGAGGUGCUGCCUAGAUUUCUGUCCUUCGAGGAGAUGGCAUGAAUUACUGGUAGGUAGAAGUGGUGUGGGGCCAGAGGUGGUGGUGUGGGGGGCAGCGAUGGGGGCUGCACUGUGGUGGGCAGCAGCUCACUGCUCUGGCAGGAAAUCUUGGUUCCAUGCUUGGCAAAGUUCAUCUGCUGGAAAGGCACCUGCACGUGGCUCAGGGAGCAGGCUGCUGCUACAGCACUGACUGGGGAGUAUUAAUUGUACACUGCUUGAUUUAGAACUUUUUGUAGGUGAGAAUAAGGUCCUAGCUCUACUAAUGUCUCUAUACCACCAUGUUGAAAGGAUGUAUUAGAAUCACCAAGGCUG
This is a long non-coding RNA of Numida meleagris (helmeted guineafowl), 1128 nucleotides long. RefSeq lists it as uncharacterized. Lineage: Eukaryota; Metazoa; Chordata; Aves; Galliformes; Numididae. The transcript has 6 exons. The record is from RefSeq and is a predicted model, not a curated record.